UAGUAGCGUAUAUUAAUGUUGUUGCAGUUAAAAAGCUCGUAGUUGAAACUUGAAUAUUGCAAUUAGUUUGGUUUUCUAGAUUUCUAGUAUAACUACUAAUUCAUAUUCUUCCUACUAGUAACUCGAUUCGGUUCUUAAUUGAAUGGGAUAGCAUUCUUUCGGGAGUGUCGAUCUUUAUAAAUAUCUCUACCAUCUAUGUGGAUACGUAUAAAAGCGUUGAAAUGUAAUGAGUAGAUCAAGAUAAUUGUUUAAAUUGGAGUUCUAGUUCAUUUACUUUGAGAAAAUUAGAGUGUUUAAAGCAGCCUCUUGGGGCUCUGAAUACAUUAGCAUGGGAUAAUAGAAUAGGAUUUCAAUCAUAUCUUUGUUGGUUUGAAUGGAUGAAAUAAUGAUUAAGAGGAACAGUUGGGGGUAGUUUAUAUUGGAUGGGGAGCGGUGAAAUGCGUGGAUCCAUUCAAGAUAAACUAAAGACGAAA
This 473-nucleotide ribosomal RNA is filed under the name uncultured eukaryote. RNAcentral describes it as "partial 18S ribosomal RNA". It matches the Rfam family "Eukaryotic small subunit ribosomal RNA", at positions 592 to 950 of the family's 1831-position model. The record is from RNAcentral.